CCUUUAUAUACAUCCAUUUUAGUCCUAGCAGUCUUAAGAAAAGGUCUUCCUAGCAAAAUUGGGACAGAAUUAGAGAAGUUAUCCUCUUCCAUAUCAAGUACAUAAAAAUCAACAGGAAAAACCAACUCAUUAACUUGUACUAGGACAUCUUCUAAUACCCCAUCAGGAUAUGUAUUAGACCUAUCAGCUAGUUGAAUUAUCACGCCAGUUUCUUUUAAUGGACCAACAUUCAAAGAUG
RNAcentral lists this long non-coding RNA (238 nucleotides) under Citrus maxima (pomelo). RNAcentral's name for it is "long non-coding RNA (CMAX_LNC004338)". Lineage: Eukaryota; Viridiplantae; Streptophyta; Magnoliopsida; Sapindales; Rutaceae. The record is from RNAcentral.